UUUCCGUAGGUGAACCUGCGGAAGGAUCAUUAACGAGUAAAGUCCUUUGGGACUUUCUUAUCCAACACACCUGUGAAAAUUAAUGUUUUGCUUUGGGAAUUUAAUUAUUCCCAACAAUCAAAACCACUAAGUUGUCUCUUGUCUGAAUGAUUAUUUAAAAAAUCAAAACUUUCAACAACGGAUCUCCUGGUUCUC
RNAcentral lists this unclassified non-coding RNA (195 nucleotides) under plant metagenome. RNAcentral describes it as "partial contains small subunit ribosomal RNA, internal transcribed spacer 1, and 5.8S ribosomal RNA". The record is from RNAcentral.